CCUACGGGGGGCAGCAGUGAGGAAUAUUGGUCAAUGGACGAGAGUCUGAACCAGCCAAGUAGCGUGAAGGAUGACUGCCCUAUGGGUUGUAAACUUCUUUUAUAAAGGAAUAAAACGAGGUACGUGUGCCUUUUUGCAUGUACUUUAUGAAUAAGGAUCGGCCGACUCCGUGCCCGCAGCCGCGGUAAUACGGAGGAUCCGAGCGUUAUCCGGGUUUUUUGGGUUUUAACGGGGCGUAGAUGGGUUGUUAAGUCAGUUGUGAAAGUUUGCGGCUCAACCGUAAGAUUGCAGUUGAUACUGGCAGUCGUGAGUACAGUUGAGGUAGGCGGAAUUCGUGGUGUAGCGGUGAAAUGCAUAGAUAUCACGAAGAACCCCGAUUGCGAAGGCAGCUUACUAAACUGUGACUGACAUUGAUGCACGAAAGUGUGGGUAUCAAACAGGAUUAGAUACCCCAGUAGUC
RNAcentral lists this ribosomal RNA (460 nucleotides) under uncultured bacterium. RNAcentral's name for it is "partial 16S ribosomal RNA". It matches the Rfam family "Bacterial small subunit ribosomal RNA", at positions 338 to 795 of the family's 1533-position model. The record is from RNAcentral.